AUAGCUGAUUGCACCAACAAAUAGUUGAUGCAAUAUUGACUCUGUCAAAUAAAAUUCUAGGUAGAAUUAUGAUAAUGACAUUGUCUGCCUAUAUGUCUUGACCAAAUUACGUGCCAGCAGUCGCGGUAAUACGUAGAAGACUAGUGUUAUUCAUCUUUAAUAGGUUUAAAGGGUACCUAGACGGUAAAUCAAGCCUUCACAGGGACUAAUUUACUAGAGUUACUUACGAGGGGGUAUUAAAGUACUGCAGGUGUAGAGAUGAAAUUCUGUCAUACCUCUUUUCAAAAGAAAAAUUAUGGCACAGGUAUAGGUGAAAGCAUCCCCUUAUGUGAUAACUGACGUUGAAGGACGAAGGCUUUGUGUCGCGAACAGGAUUAGAUACCCCAGUAGUCAAAGCAGAAAAUGAUGAAUGUCAUAGAUUAGAUAAAUAGUUUAUUCUAUAAAUGAAAAUGUAAGCAUUCCACCUCAAGAGUAAUUUGGCAACAUUGGAACUGAAAUCAUUAGACCGUUUCUGAAACCAGUAGUGAAGUAUGUUGUUUAAUUUGAUGAUCCGCAAAAAACCUUACCACAAUUUGAAUAUUUAUAUCUAUCUUUUUUUUUCGUAAAAAAAUAAAAAGGUAAUAUAUUUACAAGCGUUGCACGGCUGUCUUCAGUUAAUGUCGCGAGACUUUGGUUAGUUCCAUUAAAUUAACGUAAACCCUUACUUUAUUUUUAUAUGAAGUAGUUCCCCGCUAUAUUGGAUAUGAUAACAGGG
This 754-nucleotide ribosomal RNA is filed under the name Lepraria neglecta. Its description in RNAcentral is "SSU rRNA". It matches the Rfam family "Bacterial small subunit ribosomal RNA", at positions 378 to 1167 of the family's 1533-position model. Lineage: Eukaryota; Fungi; Ascomycota; Lecanoromycetes; Lecanorales; Stereocaulaceae. The record is from RNAcentral.